Molecule: long non-coding RNA, 811 nt
Filed under: Equus caballus (horse)
Lineage: Eukaryota; Metazoa; Chordata; Mammalia; Perissodactyla; Equidae
Description: lncRNA (ENSECAG00000052903.1)
Source: RNAcentral
GGUGCCCCUUGGGCACAAAUAGAAGACAAUGGCAACAUAUUCUCAUCUGAUUGAAGAGAAGAACAAUGCAUGCAGAUAUCUGGGAAGAAAGAGUUACAUUAGACAAAGCAGAAAAUGCAACAACUUGGAGGUAGCUGCCUGAUGUGAAUUUGAGGAGUAACAAGGAAUCCAGGCUGCUGAAAAUGAAAGGACAAGGUGGACGGUGGUCAGAAUGAUGUCAGACAAGUGGCCUGGGUCAGAUCUCAUAAAGCUUGUAAGUCACGAAAAACCCAAACUACUGAAAGGUAAAUUUCACCAUCAGUAAAUGACAACUAUCUGACCUUCUAAAACAAAACUACUGCUGUGAUAAGCGAAUUGGGAGAACUCCUGUUUUUUCCAUAUAAAAUUCCAGUCUGUACAGAUCUCACUGAAGUCUAACCCAGCCUCUGCUUCAAGUCUACGCUGCUGUAUUCUUUGAUGGGGUGGAGUGGCUCCCAUGCUGGUCUGUAUGGGGAAGUGGUGAGAUGGGCUCUUCUGAACGUGACUACACACAAGGUGACAUGAUUGGUCCCUCUACUUUGAACUAUUUCCUAAAUCAAUGCACAGAGAGCGGUAAACUUUGUUAAAUUUGUGUUCUGCUAUUGUCUCAAAAUCAUCCCUCUUCAUUCAUCUAGAGACUCCUAACUGGGUCAAUUAAGGUUUCACUUAAGUCUAACCUAAAUCUCACAUGCUAUAAGGCAAGCUAUUUUCUUUUCCUUUUUCUCUUUCAUGAUCAGUUUCUUGAAUAUUAUUAGGUGUAUUAGUCAGGGCUCUCCAGAGAAACAGAACAGAG